Long non-coding RNA from Anneissia japonica, 341 nucleotides. RefSeq lists it as uncharacterized. Lineage: Eukaryota; Metazoa; Echinodermata; Crinoidea; Comatulida; Comatulidae. The transcript has 3 exons. The record is from RefSeq and is a predicted model, not a curated record.
GCACAUAGCAAUUGUCAGGAUAUAACGGAAGACUCCAGUACACCUAUCGUCACUGUGUAUGACAUCAUUGACUUAAGCCUACUUGAAUUGGAGAACCCAAAUGAAGAUGUAAACUUUACCUUUAGUAGGUGUAUGUUGGCCGCUACUUGGUCAAGAGAUGGAUUCACUGGAGUUCCCGUAGAAAGGUAUGAAUGGAGUGCAGGUGAUUUUUCAUCAACAUCAAAACAACCGAAAGGAAUCUUCAAUGCAGCAGUCGACCAAGUCUGGUUUGAUGUCGGCCAAGAAACAUCAGCUGUUCUUAUGCUUGAUGACGGUAAACUGCGCAUGUUUAUGUCGUAUUU